Molecule: ribosomal RNA, 309 nt
Filed under: uncultured bacterium
Lineage: Bacteria
Description: partial 16S ribosomal RNA
Rfam family: Bacterial small subunit ribosomal RNA
Source: RNAcentral
AGAGACAGAGUCGCCACGGUAAUACGAAGGGGGCUAGCGCUGCUCGGAAUGACUGGGCGUAAAGGGCGCGUAGGCGGUUUGCACAGUCGGGUGUGAAAUUCCUGGGCUUAACCUGGGGGCUGCAUUCGAGACGUGUAGGCUUGAGUGGGGAAGAGGGUCGUGGAAUUCCCAGUGUAGAGGUGAAAUUCGUAGAUAUUGGGAAGAACACCGGUGGCGAAGGCGGCGACCUGGUCCUUUACUGACGCUGAGGCGCGAGAGCGUGGGGAGCAAACAGGAUUAGAUACCCCAGUAGUCCCUGUCUCUUAUACA